Molecule: long non-coding RNA, 1149 nt
Filed under: Elaeis guineensis (African oil palm)
Lineage: Eukaryota; Viridiplantae; Streptophyta; Magnoliopsida; Arecales; Arecaceae
Description: long non-coding RNA (EGUI_LNC067183)
Source: RNAcentral
CCCACUUUCUUUCUCUUAAUUUUUCUGUGCACGCCCCACCUUUCUUCCAUUUUUAAAACAACGUCGAACGUGUCUUAUCCGCAUGAGAGGAUAAAGACAAGAGGUUACACAUUUGAAUUCAAAUCAAAUUUGAAUUCAAACAAAAACCAACUUAUCCUUAUCCUUUUGGGCGUGAGAAGAGAAAGGGUGUGGCUCUUUGUGCAUGGAAAAUAUUUCACGAGAAACCUUUUCUCGUGUAACUAAUGUGGCGCACAAAAUGGAUAAGGAUGAAGGGGCAAGUGAUAAGUUAUCCAUUCAAAUUCUAACAUGCUUUGAAUUUGAAUGGCUAACUAAUUAUUUUAUCCAUCCAUAUGGUGCAUAAAUGAGGGCGUGGGGAAGGGUUUUGCAUGAGAAAAAUUUCACGAGAAGUUUCUUCUCAUGAAUUCAAAUGGGUGCAAGGAAGUUGGGUGUCGCAGGGAAUUUAAAACAAGGUGGUUUGAUUAAAAUUGAGCCAACCUAAUCUAAAUAGGUUAAGCACAAUUAGAAUAGAUUAAACCCAACAUAAUUAGGCUUAAUUAUGCUCAAUAAAAUCCUAAUUAAAUCAGAAAUUAACUAAGCCUAACCCCUAAUCAAAUCAAGGACUAAACCACCUUAGUGAUUAGGUCAACAUUUAACCUAAUAGGGUCAAUCCAAACUGAAUCCAAUUCAAUUGGACUUGAUCCAAAAAUAAUUACUCAAUCAAAUUGAGUUAAUUAGUGAUCAAAUCACUAAUUAAACCUCUCAUAAAUAUUGAGUCCAAAUCCUGAUUGGCAAUCAGGCAUCAGAGACCAUCGAUAUGAAACCCUGAUCAAAGAAUUCAAAUUUGAAAUUCAAAAUUUGAAAUUCAAAAUUUUGACCCCGGUACCCAAAAUGUGUGAAACUCAUGAUCAGAGAAUCUUAAUUCUCAAUCAUAGAGUCUCAGAUAGAUAAGACUCAUAAUCAGCCAUCAGAUCAGAAAGGAACCUCUAAUGUGUGUGAUCCCGUAGGUUCGAACCUAAGCCGGUAGCACAGGAACCAAUUUCUGUACUAAUCGAAGUGACCAUCUAGCAAUGGUACCCGAUGACCGGAUAGGUCGAAUAAUCACAAUCGCAACAUUCAGAACCUACGUGAAUAUGGUUACCGUAUAAUUCA